AUCGAGUCAAACCGACACAAUCACGUACCACGGCCAAAGGAAACACGCGACGGGAUUGUCCUACUGCGACUGAGUGUUCAGUUGUUCACAGCGGGAUAAGCCCUGAAGGAUAAGAGAAUAAUAAUACAUCAAUAGUAAUACCUUGAGGGAUGCAUAAUCCAAACCGGGUUGUAUCAACCAAACGGCCAAAAUAUAUAACCUACAACCCACUACCGAAUAGGAUAUUUUCACAAAGAAAAAGCCAGAGUUAUGACAAAGAAUGAGAUAAGCAGUUUUUGUCAUUUUGUUGACAGAAGAUGAGGUAAAAAUACGAUAAAACAGAAUUUUCGUUUUGUGUUUUCCUAUCCGCACACUAAGCAUAGAACUUCAAACGGUUAUUUGACGCACCUAGUCUGUAGCACGCAGAAUUCUCAUUUGUUUUAUUUUAUCCUAUCAUUUGCUCCUGUUCUAUUACCUUCUUUUAAAUAAAAAAUAUGCAAAGCAC
Daphnia magna is the source of this 484-nucleotide long non-coding RNA. RefSeq lists it as uncharacterized. Lineage: Eukaryota; Metazoa; Arthropoda; Branchiopoda; Diplostraca; Daphniidae. The transcript is spliced from 2 exons. The record is from RefSeq and is a predicted model, not a curated record.